This 397-nucleotide unclassified non-coding RNA is filed under the name Hevea brasiliensis (rubber tree). The record is from RNAcentral. Lineage: Eukaryota; Viridiplantae; Streptophyta; Magnoliopsida; Malpighiales; Euphorbiaceae.
AAAAAAAAGAAGAAGAAGAAGACAAGAUGUACCUGCUGGUUGGCAGCUGGCAUAUACUAAUUGAAGAGUAAAGAGCUUUCUUUUUCUUGUUUGGCAGCUGUCAUGUACUAAGGUAGAGUAAUGGGCAGAUAUUUAACUGGGCUGGGCUGGUGGUUUUGAUGGGUUAAUGAUUUAAAUAAAUGGGCUGCCGGUUAUUAGUGUUUUUCUAUGUAUUUUUAAUUCUAUUUUUUCAUAAAUUAAAUAUGAAAUAUAAAUUAUUUUUAUAUUGAAUACAUAAUUACUCUUAAUAAGUUUAUAGAAUUUAAUUUAAAUAGUUUUAAGUUAUUUAGUAAGAUAUUAUUAAUUAAAUAUAUAGUAAAAUUAAAAUUAUAGGGCAAUAGAAAAUUAAAAUUAUCAU